This 385-nucleotide long non-coding RNA is filed under the name Olea europaea subsp. europaea. Lineage: Eukaryota; Viridiplantae; Streptophyta; Magnoliopsida; Lamiales; Oleaceae. The record is from RNAcentral.
GACCUUUUCUACGUAGAACUUAUUGAACUUUCAUAGAGUGUCAACCAUCAACCAAAAACUAUUCUCAACAAAAAGUUAUUCUCAAAUAAAUACUGCAAACCCCCUUUAUCUCCGACCCAGAGUUUGUCAGAGCAUUGGGAUUAAUGAAAAAUAAAUGUCACAUAAAAACAGGCAAUUGCUCAAAAUUUUGGCUCUCUAUAACAAAUGCUUCAAAAGUUAUGGAGGAAAAUCUGAAAAUUUCCCCCAACUUUACGGCCCUGUAACUCGGAAAGGAAGCCUUUGUGGACAAAAUGCCAUAGAACUUUUUCGUCUUAUUUUUGUCUCAAAAUACCGUGCCUUUUUUUCGUGCACCAUUUUAGUUACACCCUGUAUAAUUAGUAAAGAA